GCAUAACGCGAAGAACCUUACCUAGGCUUGACAUGCAUCUCUAAGCGCGUGAAAGCGCGUGACCCUUCGGGGGAUUUGCACAGGUGCUGCAUGGCCGUCGUCAGCUCGUGUCGUGAGAUGUUGGGUUAAGUCCCGCAACGAGCGCAACCCUUGUGAUUAGUUGCCAGCACGUCAUGGUGGGAACUCUAAUCAGACUGCCCAGAUCAACUGGGAGGAAGGUGGGGACGACGUCAGGUCAGUAUGGCCCUUACGCCUAGGGCUGCACACGUACUACAAUGCCCAGUACAAUGAGAACCGAGACCGCGAGGUGGAGGAAAUCUAAAAACUGGGCCCAGUUCGGAUUGGAGGCUGCAACUCGCCUCCAUGAAGCCGGAAUCGCUAGUAAUGGCACAUCAGCUACGGUGCCGUGAAUACGUUCCCGGGUCUUGUACACACCG
This 437-nucleotide ribosomal RNA is filed under the name uncultured bacterium. Its description in RNAcentral is "bacterial SSU rRNA". It matches the Rfam family "Bacterial small subunit ribosomal RNA", at positions 954 to 1392 of the family's 1533-position model. The record is from RNAcentral.